Molecule: ribosomal RNA, 492 nt
Filed under: uncultured bacterium
Lineage: Bacteria
Description: partial 16S ribosomal RNA
Rfam family: Bacterial small subunit ribosomal RNA
Source: RNAcentral
GAUGAACGCUAGCUACAGGCUUAACACAUGCAAGUCGAGGGGAAACGACAUCGAAAGCUUGCUUUUGAUGGGCGUCGACCGGCGCACGGGUGAGUAACGCGUAUCCAACCUGCCCAUCACUUGGGAAUAACCUUGCGAAAGUAAGACUAAUACCCAAUGAUAUCCCACGAAGGCAUCGGAAUGGGAUUAAAGAUUUAUCGGUGAUGGAUGGGGAUGCGUCUGAUUAGCUUGUUGGCGGGGUAACGGCCCACCAAGGCAACGAUCAGUAGGGGUUCUGAGAGGAAGGUCCCCCACAUUGGAACUGAGACACGGUCCAAACUCCUACGGGAGGCAGCAGUGAGGAAUAUGGGGCAAUGGGCGAGAGCCUGAACCAGCCAAGUAGCGUGCAGGAAGACGGCCCUAUGGGUUGUAAACUGCUUUUAUAAGGGAAUAAAGUGGGUCACGUGUGACUUUUUGCAUGUACCUUAUGAAUAAGGACCGGCUAAUUCCGUG